GCCUGCUUGAAGUUUGUUUUUGCUCUGCAGGAUUAAACAGUUCUCUGUAUCCUGCUUUGAGCGCUGCUGUUGGGUGCUGUGAGGGGACCUCAAGUAAGCUCCAUUUUUGAAACAUGGUAUGUCUGCUCUUUUUUAAAGGAAGUAUAUGUAUCUGUUUUCUUCAGAUAUAUUUAUUUAUCUUUUUAAAAGGAUGCAGUGACUUAUGAUGAUGUGCGUGUGAACUUCACUGAGGAAGAGUGGGAUUUGCUGGAUCCUUCCCAGAAAAGUCUUUAUGAAGAGGUGAUGCUGGAGACCUACCAGAACAUCACUGCUAUAGGCUACAAGUGGGAAGACCAUCAUAUUGAAGAAUAUUGUCAAAGUUCUAGAAGACAUGAAAGGCAUGAAAGAAUUCAUAUUGGAGAGAAACCGUAUGAACGUAACCAAUGUGGUAAAGCCUUUGCAAGUGACAAUCAUCUCCAAAUACAUAAAAGAACAAAUACUGGAGAGAAACCUUAUGAAUGUAAUCAAUGUGGUAAAGCCUUUUCACAAGGGAGUACUCUCCAAUAUCAUAUUAGAAGACAUAAUGGAGAGAAACCCUAUAAAUGUAAUCAGUGUGGUAAAGCCUAUGGACAUCACAGUAGUCUGCAAUAUCAUAAAAGAACACAUACUGGAGAGAAACCUUAUCAAUGUAAUCAAUGUGAUAAAGCAUUUUCACAACACAGUAGUCUUGAAUAUCAUAAAAUAACACAUACUGGAGAGAAACCUUAUGAGUGUGAUCAAUGUGGUAAAGCCUUUGCAUGGCAGUCUAGUCUCAAUAUACAUAAAAGAACACAUUCUGGAGAAAAACCUCAUGAGUGUAAUCAAUGUGGUAAAGCCUUUGUACAUCACAAUAGUCUCCAAUGUCAUAAAAGAACGCAUACUGGAGAGAAACCUUAUCAGUGUGAUCAGUGUGGUAAAGCAUUUACACAUCAAAAUAAUCUACAGUGUCAUAAAAGAACACAUACUGGAGAGAAACCUUAUGAAUGCAAUCAAUGUGGUAAAGCAUUUGCAAGACACAGUCAUCUCCAAGUACAUGAAAGAACACAUUUUAGAAAAACACCUUAGAAUGCAAUCACUGUUGUAAAGACUUUGGAUGUAAGACUAAUCUCCAAAGACAUAAAAGAACAUAUACUGGACAGAAACCUUAUGAAUGUAAUCAAUGUGGUAAAGCCUUUGCAACUCACAGUCAUCUACAAUGACAUAAAAGAACACAGAGGAGAGAAACCUGGUUAUUGUUUACAUAUGGACAUAAGGAGAUACAAGUAUGUAUCAAAUUGACAAGGGAUGGAUUGUGAUUGCUGCUCUUGGUUUUCAAUAUAAGAUCUAAAGUGGAAAGCAUAGGUCCAGGCAUGGUGGUACAUGCCCUUGAACCCUAGGAGAUGAGCAUCAAGCAGAUCUCUGAGUUCAAGUCCAUCCUGAUACAGAGCAAGUUAAAGGUGAAGAAAUUCUUAGGUCUAGGCCUGUGGAUACAGAGCCUUGCAGAUUUCUGAGUUCAAGGUCAAUAUAUAGAGCAAGUUCAAGGACAGCCAAGCUGAGGAAGUAAAGGAGUUGGAGAACAGAAAACUGGUGAUAAUGUAAUAGAAGAGGCCAUUUCCCAGGCCCAGAAAGCAGCAGAACUCAGCAGCUUUGACCAUGUGGCUCUGACUUUAGAGGUAAGAAUAGAAGGGACUACUGGGAAAAUUGAAGCUUGUAAGCUGUGGCUGAGAAAUUAGAAGUGAUGAAGAAGAGACCAGCAUCAUUGAGGUGAAAUCUUCUAGGAACUGUUUUCUGAGAGGACAAAGAAACUGUGUUCCAGAGAGAGCCAGGAUUGUACCUUGUGUUGCAGCUGAACUUUGUAGUCUCCCCUCCCCCAGCCUGAAACCUGCUUGCUCAGGGGUGGAGCUUCCUGCUCAUUCGUUCUGCCACGCCCACUGCUGGAACCUGCAGAGCAACAUGUGUGCUCACCUUUCUACUGGACCAGAGAUUAUUCGGCGGGAAUCGGGUCUCCUCCCCCUUCCUUCAUAACUAGUGUUGCAACAAUAAAAUUUGAGCUUUGAUCA
Molecule: long non-coding RNA, 2057 nt
Filed under: Mus musculus (house mouse)
Lineage: Eukaryota; Metazoa; Chordata; Mammalia; Rodentia; Muridae
Description: predicted gene, 47467
Source: RNAcentral